RNAcentral lists this long non-coding RNA (423 nucleotides) under Rattus norvegicus (Norway rat). Its description in RNAcentral is "long non-coding RNA NONRATT002732". The record is from RNAcentral. Lineage: Eukaryota; Metazoa; Chordata; Mammalia; Rodentia; Muridae.
CGGAUCUUAUAAUUUGGGAAUACUGCAUAAGCUCAGUCGAUCUUAGCUGCAGUUUCAGGUCAGUGGAGCAUCAUCUGCAGGCCCCCUCUUCUUCCUCCACAGUAAGAGAGCAAGGUAGGCUUCCAGUUGGAUGCUGGGGCUUGGGCAGUAAACCAAAAACCAAGGUCAAACAGGAGAUUGCUCUACCCCCUCUCCACAACUAUCACUGCAUACAUGAGGCAGGGGUGGGACAGCAGAAAAGUCUCUCUCUAAAAACACAUGCUACUCUGGAGAGGUCCACACAAAGCAGAAAGGCAGUAUGGUUUGUGCAGGUGCUGCUGGAGCCAGGAAGACGCCCACCCACGUGGUGGCAAGGAGUGAGUGGCAGUAAGGCUUAGCUCUCUGGCUGGUGCUAGGUAAUGGGAGCUAUGCCCUUUGGACCGA